This 955-nucleotide ribosomal RNA is filed under the name uncultured Halonotius sp. RNAcentral's name for it is "bacterial SSU rRNA". It matches the Rfam family "Archaeal small subunit ribosomal RNA", at positions 487 to 1445 of the family's 1478-position model. Lineage: Archaea; Methanobacteriati; Methanobacteriota; Halobacteria; Halobacteriales; Haloferacaceae. The record is from RNAcentral.
AGUGAUGUCCCAUAUUAUUGGGCCUAAAGCGUCCGUAGCUGGCCAACCAAGUCCAUCGGGAAAUCCACCUGCCCAACGGGUGGGCGUCCGGUGGAAACUGGCUGGCUUGGAACCGGAAGGCUCAGAGAGUACGUCCGGGGUAGGAGUGAAAUCCCGUAAUCCCGGACGGACUACCGAUGGCGAAAGCACUCUGAGAAGACGGCUUCGACAGUGAGGGACGAAAGCUAGGGUCUCAAACCGGAUUAGAUACCCGGGUAGUCCUAGCUGUAAACGAUGCUCGUUAGGUGUGGCACCCACUACGAGUGGGUGCUGUGCCGUAGGGAAGCCGCUAAACGAGCCGCCUGGGAAGUACGUCCGCAAGGAUGAAACUUAAAGGAAUUGGCGGGGGAGCACUACAACCGGAGGAGCCUGCGGUUUAAUUGGACUCAACGCCGGACAUCUCACCAGCCCCGACAUCAGUAAUGACAGUCAUGUUGACGACAUCUGCUCGAGCUGAUGAGAGGAGGUGCAUGGCCGCCGUCAGCUCGUACCGUGAGGCAUCCUGUUAAGUCAGGCAACGAGCGAGAUCCACGUUCCUAAUUGCCAGCACCAUCGCACGAUGGGUGGGUACAUUAGGAAGACUGCCAGUGCUAAACUGGAGGAAGGAAUGGGCAACGGUAGGUCAGUAUGCCCCGAAUGGGCUGGGCAACACGCGGGCUACAAUGGUCAGGACAACGGGUUCCAACACUGAAAAGUGGCGGUAAUCUCGCAAACCUGGUCGUAGUUCGGAUUGCGGGCUGAAACUCGCCCGCAUGAAGCUGGAUUCGGUAGUAAUCGCGUGUCAGCAGCGUGCGGUGAAUACGUCCCUGCUCCUUGCACACACCGCCCGUCAAAGCACCCGAGUGAGGUCCGGAUGAGGCCACAUCACUGUGGUCGAAUCUGGGCUUCGCAAGGGGGCUUAAGUCGUAACAAGGUA